GACGAACGCUGGCGGCGUGCUUAACACAUGCAAGUCGAACGGAAAGGCCCUGCUUUUGUGGGGUGCUCGAGUGGCGAACGGGUGAGUAACACGUGAGUAACCUGCCCUUGACUUUGGGAUAACUUCAGGAAACUGGGGCUAAUACCGGAUAGGAGCUCCUGCUGCAUGGUGGGGGUUGGAAAGUUUCGGCGGUUGGGGAUGGACUCGCGGCUUAUCAGCUUGUUGGUGGGGUAGUGGCUUACCAAGGCUUUGACGGGUAGCCGGCCUGAGAGGGUGACCGGCCACAUUGGGACUGAGAUACGGCCCAGACUCCUACGGGAGGCAGCAGUGGGAAAUAUUGCACAAUGGGCGGAAGCCUGAUGCAGCAACGCCGCGUGCGGGAGGACGGCCUUCGGGUUGUAAACCGCUUUCGCCUGUGACGAAGCGUGAGUGACGGUAAUGGGUAAAGAAGCACCGGCUAACUACGUGCCAGCAGCCGCGGUGAUACGUAGGGUGCGAGCGUUGUCCGGAUUUAUUGGGCGUAAAGGGCUCGUAGGUGGUUGAUCGCGUCGGAAGUGUAAUCUUGGGGCUUAACCCUGAGCGUGCUUUCGAUACGGGUUGACUUGAGGAAGGUAGGGGAGAAUGGAAUUCCUGGUGGAGCGGUGGAAUGCGCAGAUAUCAGGAGGAACACCAGUGGCGAAGGCGGUUCUCUGGGCCUUUCCUGACGCUGAGGAGCGAAAGCGUGGGGAGCGAACAGGCUUAGAUACCCUGGUAGUCCACGCUGUAAACGGUGGGUACUAGGUGUGGGGUCCAUUCCACGGGUUCCGUGCCGUAGCUAACGCUUUAAGUACCCCGCCUGGGGAGUACGGCCGCAAGGCUAAAACUCAAAGGAAUUGACGGGGCCCCGCACAAGCGGCGGAGCAUGCGGAUUAAUUCGAUGCAACGCGUAGAACCUUACCUGGGUUUGACAUGGAUCGGGAGCGCUCAGAGAUGGGUGUGCCUCUUUUGGGGUCGGUUCACAGGUGGUGCAUGGCUGUCGUCAGCUCGUGUCGUGAGAUGUUGGGUUAAGUCCCGCAACGAGCGCAACCCUUGUUCACUGUUGCCAGCACGUUAUGGUGGGGACUCAGUGGAGACCGCCGGGGUCAACUCGGAGGAAGGUGGGGAUGACGUCAAGUCAUCAUGCCCCUUAUGUCCAGGGCUUCACGCAUGCUACAAUGGCUGGUACAGAGAGUGGCGAGCCUGUGAGGGUGAGCGAAUCUCGGAAAGCCGGUCUCAGUUCGGAUUGGGGUUUGCAACUCGACCUCAUGAAGUCGGAGUCGCUAGUAAUCGCAGAUCAGCAACGCUGCGGUGAAUACGUUCCCGGG
Molecule: ribosomal RNA, 1343 nt
Filed under: uncultured bacterium
Lineage: Bacteria
Description: 16S ribosomal RNA
Rfam family: Bacterial small subunit ribosomal RNA
Source: RNAcentral